GAUGAAGAACGUAGUAAAAUGCGAUACGUAAUGUGAAUUGCAGAAUUUUGUGAAUCAUUGAAUCUUUGAACGCACAUUGCGCCUUUUGGUAAUCCAGGAGGCAUGCCUGUUUGAGUGUCGGUUCAUCUCUUAAACAAGUAACUUUUGUUAUGAGUUUAGUGUUGGAAAUUGAGUUUUGGAGUAUUUUCAAUUCUCAUUUCUAUAAUCAAGCAUGUCAGCAUCUGUAGUUUGUUUUUCGUUGGAACAAGCUUUUUGUCAACUUUAAAAGAAACAACAUGAUGCGUAGUUUUUUAAAUGGGUUGCUGGCUUUGCUAGAAACCUCCUUUUAAAUAUGACCUCAAAUCAGGUAAGAAUACCCGCUGAACUUAAGCAUAUCAAUAAGCGGAGGA
This 389-nucleotide unclassified non-coding RNA is filed under the name soil metagenome. RNAcentral describes it as "partial contains 5.8S ribosomal RNA, internal transcribed spacer 2, and large subunit ribosomal RNA". The stretch from base 1 to 120 matches the Rfam family "5.8S ribosomal RNA", at positions 35 to 154 of the family's 154-position model. The record is from RNAcentral.